RNAcentral lists this long non-coding RNA (948 nucleotides) under Fukomys damarensis (Damara mole-rat). RNAcentral's name for it is "lncRNA (ENSFDAG00000031056.1)". The record is from RNAcentral. Lineage: Eukaryota; Metazoa; Chordata; Mammalia; Rodentia; Bathyergidae.
AUGAUGGAUGCUCCGCUGUGGAACAAGGGCCUGCUGGAGAGUCUCCACUUUGGAGAUUUCUCUGUUUACAAAGAAAAGGAAGACAGGUGGGAGAAGCUGGGGUUCCCACAGGACAACACAGUGCGUUGUGCAGCCUCCUUAUGGAACUGCAGGAACCGGGGUGCCAGGUGCCCUCCCAGGAGCCUGGACACUGCCCAUCGCACACCAGGAUGCUCAGGCAUGAAGAACAAAUGGCAGCACCUUCGCCCAGUUAAGUUUAUAAUGAGCAGCCUGAACUGGGUUCUGUCCAUCAGGGAAGACGCAGGAGAUCGGGAGAGAACAUCAGUCCCUCUGCAGUGUUUCCUACAGGGAGGAAUCCAAUCGCUGUCAAAGAAUUCUUCUUAUCCUACAAGACACUUGGCUCUUUUUAAAAUUGUUUGUUUGUGUAAAGGUGGAGGACGAACUUCAAAAGAUGUCUCGUGGUAGACACCAGCCAGUUCUCAAAGUAGUCUGCGCAUUUCUUCUGGGCUUUCGAGACAUUUUCAGAUGAACACGUGCUUAUUUAUGAGCUCGGGUCUGCGACAGUCCCUGCCACAGCCCCUCGCUCCCAAAUGCCACCACCUUCUGAGGCUGGACCCAGGAAAUUAAGAUGCACCAGGAAACUCAACUUUCUGUUUUACUCGCCUAAAACUUCAGGACAGAACUCUGUUCAGCUCUGCUCAGGAUGUGCAUUGUUUAGAAAAGUUUUACAAAAAAAAAAUUGUUUUUCCAGUCCUAAGUGUAUCUAAGCCGUCCCAUUCCUCUGCAAGGCUGAGGACACUAAGGUAAGAGUAAUCCAACCAGGGAUGGCAGCCAGCACUCUGGGAGGCUAAGGCAGGAGGAUCAUAAGUUCAAGCCCAGCCUGGGCAACUUAAUGACCUAGCAAGAUUCUGUCUUAGAAUAAAAAAUGUUAAAAGACUGGGGAUGAAG